This 253-nucleotide ribosomal RNA is filed under the name uncultured bacterium. Its description in RNAcentral is "partial 16S ribosomal RNA". It matches the Rfam family "Bacterial small subunit ribosomal RNA", at positions 524 to 776 of the family's 1533-position model. The record is from RNAcentral.
AACGUAGGAGACAAACGUUAUCCGGAGUUACUGGGCGUAAAGGGCGUGUAGGCGGUCUGUUAAGUCUGGCGUGAAAGCUCUCGGCUAAACCGGGAGAGGUCGUUGGAUACUGGCAGACUAGUGGACGGUAGAGGCGUGUGGAAUUCCGGGUGUAGUGGUGAAAUGCGUAGAGAUCCGGAGGAACACCAGUGGCGAAGGCGACACGCUGGGCCGUACCUGACGCUAAAGCGCGACAGCAUGGGGAGCAAACGGG